UUCGACCGGCUCAACAAGGAGAUUGAGGUUCUGAAGACGUUCACCCAACAGGAGCUGGUCUCCUGGUUCCUGGAGCACAGAAACAACAGCAGCAGGAAGCUCAGCGUGCAUGUGGUCGGCUUCGGCGUGGAGGAAGGUGAUCAGAGCACCGCCUGCAGCCCAGAUUCUGCUACCUCGUCCUCGGCCUACGGUGAAGUGAGCGAGCUGACAUUUGUGCCGAUCUCGUCGCCAUCUCUUCAGGACACCACGCUCAUCACCGACAUCAGAGCUUUCACCUCCUCCCUCCCCCUCAACCCCUACCACAAAAUCAUCAACUAGGCUCCACCCUAUAAAAGUGAAACGCCUACUGAUUGGUCAUGUUUCUGCUGUGUCCUUUUCCUCUCUGUGAUUGGUUACAACAGUGCUACAUUCACUUCUUGUGGGAACUAAUAUGCUCUGAGAAUCAGAUUUCAGGUCAGUUUUGGACAAAGAGUCCAGAAAAACUACAAUCAUGGCACCUUCAUGGGUCCGAUGAAAUUCCCCUCCUUGUAGCUUUCAACUGUGAAAUAAUGAUUUUUUUCCCACAAGACAUGAAUGCAGCGUGAUGACUCAGGGCUGUGGUAUCAAUAAAGUCAUUAUUUUACUUGUAAACACACACGUGUUCUUCCUGUUAUGCUCACUCCAUGCUUCAGUUUGUCCUUCAGUAAUAAAACAUUUAAAGACAUUU
Long non-coding RNA from Pundamilia nyererei, 706 nucleotides. RefSeq lists it as uncharacterized. The record is from RefSeq and is a predicted model, not a curated record. NCBI's taxonomy places the organism in Eukaryota, Metazoa, Chordata, Actinopteri, Cichliformes, Cichlidae. The transcript has 3 exons.